RNAcentral lists this ribosomal RNA (515 nucleotides) under uncultured Glomus. RNAcentral describes it as "SSU rRNA". It matches the Rfam family "Eukaryotic small subunit ribosomal RNA", at positions 569 to 1085 of the family's 1831-position model. Lineage: Eukaryota; Fungi; Glomeromycota; Glomeromycetes; Glomerales; Glomeraceae. The record is from RNAcentral.
AGCAGCCGCGGUAAUUCCAGCUCCAAUAGCGUAUAUUAAAGUUGUUGCAGUUAAAAAGCUCGUAGUUGAAUUUCGGGGUCAAUAAGUUGGUCGUGCCAAUGGUAUGUACUGGCUUUAUUGAUUCCUACCUCUUGACGAACUGUGAUGCCAUUAAUUUGGUGUUGCAGGAAAUCAGGACUGUUACCUUGAAAAAAUUAGAGUGUUUAAAGCAGGCUUACGCUUGAAUACAUUAGCAUGGAAUAAUGAAAUAGGACGUUUGAACCUAUUUUGUUGGUUUCUAGGAUCGACGUAAUGAUUAAUAGGGAUAGUUGGGGGCAUUAGUAUUCAAUUGUCAGAGGUGAAAUUCUUGGAUUUAUUGAAGACUAACUACUGCGAAAGCAUUUGCCAAGGAUGUUUUCAUUAAUCAAGAACGAAAGUUAGGGGAUCGAAGACGAUCAGAUACCGUCGUAGUCUUAACCAUAAACUAUGCCGACUAGGGAUCGGAUGAUGUUAAUUUUUAAUGUACUCAUUCGGCG